This 253-nucleotide ribosomal RNA is filed under the name uncultured bacterium. Its description in RNAcentral is "partial 16S ribosomal RNA". It matches the Rfam family "Bacterial small subunit ribosomal RNA", at positions 524 to 776 of the family's 1533-position model. The record is from RNAcentral.
GACGGAAGGUGCAAGCGUUGCUCGGAAUCACUGGGCGUAAAGGGUGCGUAGGCGGCCGUGCAAGUCUGGCGUGAAAGCCCCGGGCUCAGCCCGGGAAGUGCGCUCGAAACUGCGCGGCUCGAGUGCCGGAGGGGAGAGUGGAAUUCCUGGUGUAGCGGUGAAAUGCGUAGAUAUCAGGAGGAAUACCGGUGGCGAAAGCGACUCUCUGGACGGCAACUGACGCUGGGGCACGAAAGCGUGGGGAGCAAACAGG